Molecule: ribosomal RNA, 253 nt
Filed under: uncultured bacterium
Lineage: Bacteria
Description: partial 16S ribosomal RNA
Rfam family: Bacterial small subunit ribosomal RNA
Source: RNAcentral
UACAGAGGUCCCGAGCGUUAGGCGGAAUCACUGAGCUUAAAGCGUGUGUAGGCGGACUUCUAAGUACCUUGUGAAAUCCCACGGCUUACCCGUGGAACGGCUGGGUAUACUGGUUGUCUUGAGCCACUUAGGGGCUACCGGAACAAAUGGUGGAGCGGUGAAAUGCGUAGAUAUCAUUUGGAACGCCAAUGGUGAAAACAGGUAGCUGGGAGUGUGCUGACGCUGAGACACGAAAGCCAGGGGAGCGAACGGG